UAGGGAAUAUUGCACAAUGGGCGAAAGCCUGAUGCAGCAACGCCGCGUGCGCGAUGACGGCCUUCGGGUUGUAAAGCGCUUUUCGAGGAGAUGAGGAAGGACAGUAUCCCCGGAAUAAGGCUCGGCUAACUACGUGCCAGCGGCCGCGGUAACACGUAGGAGCCAAGCGUUAUCCGAAUUCACUGGGCGUAAAGCGCGUGUAGGCGGCUUGGUAAGUUGGAUGUGAAAGCUCCUGGCUCAACUGGGAGAGGACGUUCAAUACUGCCGGGCUAGAGGGCGACAGAGGGAGGUGGAAUUCCCGGUGUAGUGGUGAAAUGCGUAGAUAUCGGGAGGAACACCAGUGGCGAAAGCGGCCUCCUGGGUCGCACCUGACGCUCAGAUGCGAAAGCUAGGGGAGCGAACGG
RNAcentral lists this ribosomal RNA (404 nucleotides) under uncultured bacterium. RNAcentral describes it as "bacterial SSU rRNA". It matches the Rfam family "Bacterial small subunit ribosomal RNA", at positions 355 to 775 of the family's 1533-position model. The record is from RNAcentral.